Long non-coding RNA from Xenopus laevis (African clawed frog), 1125 nucleotides. RefSeq lists it as uncharacterized. The record is from RefSeq and is a predicted model, not a curated record. Lineage: Eukaryota; Metazoa; Chordata; Amphibia; Anura; Pipidae. The transcript has 4 exons.
CACCCUCAAUAGACCUCGAUCAAACACAUCUCGUUUAGAAAAGCAAAUUAGAAGAAGGCGCGAAACCAGCGUCUACUAAUCAAAUAGACAAUGGCGCAGCAGAGUUAAUUUCCCCACACGCACACAGCCCUCUGCGUCCACACCCUUCCCCUCCGUGCCACCCAUAUGAGCGCGAAACAACUUGGUAAAACUAGUCAAGCCCAUCACCGACGUGCUGCGCACGACGUCAUCGACCCUGUCCCAGCCCAUAGAGGUGACGGCACGCCCCCUCCCCCUGCUGCUUCGCCGGAUUGGCUGGAGUCAUGAUGUGUCACGAGUUCCCACAGUUAAGCCCCGCCUCCCUAAGAAAUCAUCUCGGACUGCUCUGGCGGGACUGGUUCGACUGUUGAAAAAGGUGGCAGCCCUUUAAUCGCCUGCUUUAUUGGAGCUGCGCUUUUACUGGUUAUGGAGAGGCUUUUUAAAACCACAACCACUGCCUUACUGGCACGGUGCCCCAACGACAUAAACUUCUUCAGUAAAUAUGUGUCUCCUGGGCAGAAGGUGGUCAGCACAUUCACCCACCUGUGUAAGAUCUGUGCGCAGUGAGGAGAGUGCUGAUCUGAAGUCUCCUUGUAUCUCUGUCCGUAGAGCUGCCAAUAAUUCCCUCAAUGACGCUACUGUAAGCGGAUGUCUUAUACAGAAACAAUAUAUGUCCUAAAAAAGACAUUGUGCCCGUUCCAAUAGAAUCCUGAGGUGACCCUUCUAGUAAUUUUAUUUCUUCUUUCAGCGCCUACAGGUGCCAUUAAAAACACAAACACACACACACUUCCAGUCGUACUAAAGAGAUCUAUGAGCAGACCCUUUGGCCAAGUCUGUUAAUUCCGCAGAGAUAAGUGAAGAAUAUUUUCAACAAAAAAAACCACUUGUGUAAAAGUCCUCACUCUGGAUUUUUAGUUGUGUAUCACACACGAGACAAGGCAUUUACCCAUCAGAAUCUCUCUUGCCUCUUCACAUUUUGCAAUGCUGGAAACAAAAUUUUGGUACAGUUAUAGAAUCUGUUAUCCAGAAACCCAGUAGAAUCUGUUAUCCAGAAACCUGUUAUCCAGAAAAUUCCAAAUUACCAGAUGACCAUCUCCCAUAGACUUA